Molecule: ribosomal RNA, 439 nt
Filed under: uncultured Acidobacteriota bacterium
Lineage: Bacteria; Pseudomonadati; Acidobacteriota
Description: bacterial SSU rRNA
Rfam family: Bacterial small subunit ribosomal RNA
Source: RNAcentral
AACGCUGGCGGCGUGCCUAACACAUGCAAGUCGCACGAGAAAGGGUCUUCGGAUCUGAGUAAAGUGGCGCACGGGUGAGUAACACGUGACUAAUCUACCUCCGAGUGGGGAAUAACUGAGGGAAACCUUAGCUAAUACCGCAUAACACUUACGAGUCAAAGCAGCAAUGCGCUUGGAGAGGAGGUCGCGGCAGAUUAGCUAGUUGGCGGGGUAAAGGCCCACCAAGGCGAUGAUCUGUAUCCGGCCUGAGAGGGCGCACGGACACACUGGAACUGAAACACGGUCCAGACUCCUACGGGAGGCAGCAGUGGGGAAUUUUGCGCAAUGGGGGAAACCCUGACGCAGCAACGCCGCGUGGAGGAUGAAGUCUCCUUGGGACGUAAACUCCUUUCGNAUAGGGNAAGGAUAAUGACGGUANCUAUAGAAGAAGGNNCCGGCU